GGUAGGAUGGACGAGUGGUUUAAGUCGACAGAUUUAAGUUCCGCAGAUUAUCUGCGCUUGAACUUCCUGUUGCCGUUAUGGCGCGUGGGUUCGAACCCCACUCCUACCA
Molecule: transfer RNA, 109 nt
Organism: Sphaerobolus stellatus SS14
Lineage: Eukaryota; Fungi; Basidiomycota; Agaricomycetes; Geastrales; Sphaerobolaceae
Rfam family: tRNA
About the family: Transfer RNA (tRNA) molecules are approximately 80 nucleotides in length.
Source: Rfam